UGUACACACCGCCCGUCACACCAUGGAAGCUGGUCACGCCCGAAGUCAUUACCUCAACCGCAAGGAGGGGGAUGCCUAAGGCAGGGCUAGUGACUGGGGUGAAGUCGUAACAAGGUAGCCGUACCGGAAGGUGUGGCUGGAUCACCUCCUUUUAGGGAGACCUAAUCCAAUGUAGAAUCGAAAGCGAAAGCAAAUAGAAAUACAACUGGUCUACUCUAGGUCGGUCGAGAUUGGCAAAAAUAACUUUCAAAGUAUUAAAUCGGAUUCAGAGGGCAAACCUAGCACCUGUGAGAAGCAGAAUGCUGGAGUGAGAUCCAGUCAGAACCUUGAAAACUGCAUAAGAGAAAGAGUAAAAAAAGCAGUAAAAACUGCAAGUGGUCAAGCGAAAAAGAGCUAAUGGUGGAUACCUAGGCACACAGAGA
This 422-nucleotide unclassified non-coding RNA is filed under the name uncultured cyanobacterium. RNAcentral describes it as "partial contains 16S ribosomal RNA, 16S-23S ribosomal RNA intergenic spacer, and 23S ribosomal RNA". The stretch from base 1 to 152 matches the Rfam family "Bacterial small subunit ribosomal RNA", at positions 1382 to 1533 of the family's 1533-position model. Lineage: Bacteria; Bacillati; Cyanobacteriota. The record is from RNAcentral.